CAGCCGUAAACUAUGCGCGUUAGGUGUACUGGUGACCACGAGUCACCGGGGUGCCGAAGGGAAACCGUGAAACGUGCCGCCUGGGAAGUACGGUCGCAAGGCUGAAACUUAAAGGAAUUGGCGGGGGAGGCACCACAACGGGUGGAGCCUGCGGUUUAAUUGGACUCAACGCCGGAAAUACUCACCGGAUAGGACAGACAUAUGAUAGUCGGGCUGAAGACUCUACUUGAUGAUCUGAGAGGUGGUGCAUGGCGUCAGUGACU
RNAcentral lists this ribosomal RNA (263 nucleotides) under uncultured archaeon. Its description in RNAcentral is "partial 16S ribosomal RNA". It matches the Rfam family "Archaeal small subunit ribosomal RNA", at positions 748 to 1008 of the family's 1478-position model. The record is from RNAcentral.